CGCACCGCAAGCAAGACUCUUAGAAUCUAUGCUCCACUGUCCAAACCAACCAUUCUCAUCUCCAACAAUACUGCAGUGGAGACCAAGGACUUCUCAAUGACAUGCCAGGCUACGGGUCAAAUUGAAGCUUACCAGUGGUUCAUAAAUGGACUUGCCCCAG
Molecule: long non-coding RNA, 160 nt
Organism: Monodelphis domestica (gray short-tailed opossum)
Lineage: Eukaryota; Metazoa; Chordata; Mammalia; Didelphimorphia; Didelphidae
Source: Ensembl